UAUGGAACAUAGAUUUGCUUAUGAUUUGUAAUUUAUAUCCUUGUCGAAAGAACCAGCUACACCAUUGCAACAAUACUGAUACAUACUUAUGUAAUCUAUGUCCUUGUCAAAGGUAUCAGCUACACCUUUGCAACACUGACUUAGUUACGCUAGUUAGACGUGUUAGUAGUAACAUAUACAAAGCUGUUACUUGUUAUAUAGGUGGCGCCAAAAACGUUUCCGGCCGUUUCAUUUUGAAAGUUUCAGUUGCGCGCCAACCGCCGUGCAGUGAUGUGGCCUCCUGCGCACUUCCGUGAAAAUGGCUUUCAUCAGGAGCGAAAGCUCCAGCUUGCAAGCAAGGGUCGCUACACUGAAGACAGCAAACUGCAGAAACUCAAGAAUUCUAAAAAUGAAAAAGCACCUGAAUUCCAAGGGGCUAAUGAAUUUGAAUGCCCCUUAGAUUUGAAUGGGUACAGUGUACCCGGUAAGUGAUGACGCUCAUUGCUUUUUCGCAUGCGUUAUUGCCCUUGCCCCUUGGGUCAUGAGUGUUAUCACCAUUGUGUGUGUAAUGUGUAUGUACCAUUUUAAAUACAUGACCUACUUUCAGUAA
This 589-nucleotide long non-coding RNA is filed under the name Amphibalanus amphitrite. Its description in RNAcentral is "uncharacterized LOC122373262". Lineage: Eukaryota; Metazoa; Arthropoda; Thecostraca; Balanomorpha; Balanidae. The record is from RNAcentral.